AUGUCUGUAGAUUUGGCUCACAAAAUAGUUUCGACUCUCAGAAGAUCUGAAAGAUGCAAGAACACCCGUGUAAUAUACAAUGAUGAUUAUGAAGAAGAUUCCGAGACUGAGAUAACUGAUUCUGAAGAAGUUGCCUCUCCUUCACCCUCAGAACUUAAUGUUGCUUCGGUUGAUGAUAGUUCCGAUGAAGAAGAUUCUCGCAAUGUGUCUCGCAAGGAUCGAAGAACUCGGUUUAAAGUUAAGAAUAAGAAGGCUCCAAAAACUAUUUCUGAAGGAUCUGGCACUAAGGAUCAGUCUCAGUGUGGGGGUCUUGGGAUUGAAAGAUCAAACGAGGAAGUUGAUCUUGAUGAGCCUCUUAUUGCUUUGAAACAGAAGAAAGAAAAGAUACCCCCUUCUAAGGCGAAAAGAAAGACGGAUACAUCAUCUUCUCCACAUGCUACAAAACUAGAUACAUCAACAAAGAGAGAUGAAAUUAGUCUUGUACAAACUUCCCUAUUCGAGUCAAAACUGCAUGACUUAGUGACACAGAAGCUUGAAAGAAGAGCUGUAGAUCAAGAGCACUCGAGAAUUGCUAUUGAACACACCUGUGACCAUUCAUCUGUUGUGCUGCAUCAGUUUCCCAUCGAAGAUAACUGUGGACAGCAGCCUGGUUUCAUCACCCAACCAACUGAAGCAGAUGUUUCUGAAGCCAAAGCGCAUUUGUAUGACAGUGUGGAACAGAAAAAGACUAAUAACAAUUUUUCUUCACUAGGUCCCAUUGAUGAAGUGAGCAACCAUCAUAAAUCUUUAGAUGAUACAAGUAAUUACACAGAUGUGAGGUGCACAUCGGUGGUCAUCCAACCUGAUUUAUGUGGAAGCACAGACAGGAUUUGCACUUCGCAUGAGGAGGUUGUGCAGAUGCUGGUGGAGGGUCAAUUAGAUUCACUAGUCUGCCAUGGUGUGAAAACAAAGGAUAUAUUACCGCAUAUGAAUGUUGAACAAGCAGCCACAGGCUACAAUUUUGCUUUUGAUAAGACUCUUGAUUUGGCUCAUACUGCCAAUUUUGACACUCAAGAUGGGCGGCUAGAAAAUAUAGUUUAUGGUGCUAUGAAUAAUAAUGUGCAGCGGAAGUGUUUUGAAACAAAAGCUUCUGUCGGAGUUCCAGAUACUGCUGUGACUCCAACAGAAGUUUCACAUAAUGGUCGCCUCUUACUUGCCAACAUGGAGGGGUCGUCAAAGGAUAUGAAUCACUUAAGUGGUACAGUGAAUGUUGACAUUUGUAGAUCUGUUAAUGAUCAAGAAUCAAGAGAAGCAUAUGUUGUUCAACAAAAGUUAUUCCAGGCUUGUGUUAACAUGGGCAAAACUGGACAUGCAAUAUCAGAUAGCUCCUCUAAUCCUGAAGAAACACAAGAAAUUUCUAAUGGGCAAACUAGGGCGUCUGAUUUUUUCAUUGACGAAGGAUCAAUUGAAGAUCAUACUCCAAAAAAACUGUUGUCCCAGAGAAAGAUUAUGUCGCCAACUUCUCAGGAGAAGUUUUGCAAUGCUUUGGCUGGUAUUGAUUUGUGUGGAGUCCAAAGGCUUGAGAGAAAGAUUAAUCUUGAAGAUUGUGAUGCAAGUAAUCAAUCAUUACCUCAGACAACAAACAAGCAAUACCGAUCUAUAUUAACCACAGACAGGAAACUUAAGAGCAGAACUUCUAUCUCCUUUACAAGCAAAGGAGUUCUUAAGUCAACUGAAUCCCCAUCUCCUGAGCUGAUAAGUUCAUCUGUUCUUUUGGACACUGAGAAAGCUGUUGAGUUUUCACAAAGGCAGAUGCAUGAUAUGGAGAGCAUUGCAGCAAAUCUUAUCAGGAGCUUGAAGCACAUGAGAAGUUUAGUGGACGAAAAUUUGUCGUCAGAAGCACAUUCUUUGCUUCCCAAUUUUAACACUGCUGAGAUGAGAGCAGCAUCCGAGGACGCAUUAAAGGUGGAGAGAACUACAAGGAAAUGGUUGACAAUAAUGAACAAAGAUUGCAAUCGUUUUUGUAAAAUAUUGACACUAGAGGGAAAGAAGGCUGCUUCGCAUCCAGAAUUGCCGAGGAAACGUAGGAAGAUAACGUUCGCGGAUGAAGCUGGAGGAACGCUCUGCUAUGUUAAUGUGUUUAGUGAUGUACAGACCUCCCCUUCUGCAUGCGAGGGUGAGUCAUAA
This 2166-nucleotide ribosomal RNA is filed under the name Triticum aestivum (bread wheat). RNAcentral describes it as "partial small subunit ribosomal RNA". Lineage: Eukaryota; Viridiplantae; Streptophyta; Magnoliopsida; Poales; Poaceae. The record is from RNAcentral.